Non-coding RNA from Prunus avium (sweet cherry), 596 nucleotides. The record is from RefSeq and is a predicted model, not a curated record. NCBI's taxonomy places the organism in Eukaryota, Viridiplantae, Streptophyta, Magnoliopsida, Rosales, Rosaceae.
UAUAUGGAUAAGUUUGAUGUGGGGAACAUUGGGCCAUGAUGAGGAGGUUGAUGCUAUCUGGAAUGCACCAACAAUGAUGAUCUGGUUGGACUUUGGAACCCUACUCAAAGCUAAGGCUAGCUAAGGCUGUGUAGCCAAUGCCCAGUUGCAAUGUCCCAGUCAGAACUCAGAGUCUCAUUCAGAGCAUAUAGGCAAGGCUCACCUGCUCCCCUUACAAAUUCAUCUUAUAUCUAGUUUCUGCUUCUGUUCCCAAACUUGAGGACAAAAACCAUCAAAUUCUUUGAUCCUCUGUGAUCUAUAGUCCAACAGAUAUGAGCAUUUUGAGGGCUAUGAAUCAAGACAUAUAUAGCUGGCUUGAGGAACCUCCCACAUGUAGAUAGAAAUUAAGAAGGUUUGUUGUCUCUGCCUUACUUUACCAGAAGUGGUUGGCAGAACACCAAGUCAAAGAGACUCAAAAUGCAUCUUGAAAUUUCCAAAGAAAAUGGUCUUUGGGAUUAAGUUUGCAGGGCUGAUAUGCUUGGUGUUCUGUUCAUGCCUGUACAUUCUUAAUUUCUUCCUGUCCUUUUGGUGUGUAUGGUUCUGUUUUGCUUCUUAAA